RNAcentral lists this ribosomal RNA (253 nucleotides) under uncultured bacterium. RNAcentral describes it as "partial 16S ribosomal RNA". It matches the Rfam family "Bacterial small subunit ribosomal RNA", at positions 524 to 776 of the family's 1533-position model. The record is from RNAcentral.
UACGUAGGGUGCAAGCGUUAAUCGGAAUUACUGGGCGUAAAGCGUGCGCAGGCGGUUGUGCAAGACAGGUGUGAAAUCCCCGGGCUCAACCUGGGAAUUGCAUUUGUGACUGCACGGCUAGAGUGUGUCAGAGGGGGGUAGAAUUCCACGUGUAGCAGUGAAAUGCGUAGAGAUGUGGAGGAACACCGAUGGCGAAGGCAGCCUCCUGGGCCAGCACUGACGCUCAUGCACGAAAGCGUGGGGAGCAAACAGG